AAAUUGAAGAGUUUGAUCAUGGCUCAGAUUGAACGCUGGCGGCAGGCCUAACACAUGCAAGUCGAGCGGUAGCACAGAGAGCUUGCUCUCGGGUGACGAGCGGCGGACGGGUGAGUAAUGUCUGGGAAACUGCCUGAUGGAGGGGGAUAACUACUGGAAACGGUAGCUAAUACCGCAUAAUGUCGCAAGACCAAAGUGGGGGACCUUCGGGCCUCAUGCCAUCAGAUGUGCCCAGAUGGGAUUAGCUAGUAGGUGGGGUAACGGCUCACCUAGGCGACGAUCCCUAGCUGGUCUGAGAGGAUGACCAGCCACACUGGAACUGAGACACGGUCCAGACUCCUACGGGAGGCAGCAGUGGGGAAUAUUGCACAAUGGGCGCAAGCCUGAUGCAGCCAUGCCGCGUGUAUGAAGAAGGCCUUCGGGUUGUAAAGUACUUUCAGCGGGGAGGAAGGUGUUGUGGUUAAUAACCACAGCAAUUGACGUUACCCGCAGAAGAAGCACCGGCUAACUCCGUGCCAGCAGCCGCGGUAAUACGGAGGGUGCAAGCGUUAAUCGGAAUUACUGGGCGUAAAGCGCACGCAGGCGGUCUGUCAAGUCGGAUGUGAAAUCCCCGGGCUCAACCUGGGAACUGCAUUCGAAACUGGCAGGCUAGAGUCUUGUAGAGGGGGGUAGAAUUCCAGGUGUAGCGGUGAAAUGCGUAGAGAUCUGGAGGAAUACCGGUGGCGAAGGCGGCCCCCUGGACAAAGACUGACGCUCAGGUGCGAAAGCGUGGGGAGCAAACAGGAUUAGAUACCCUGGUAGUCCACGCCGUAAACGAUGUCGAUUUGGAGGUUGUGCCCUUGAGGCGUGGCUUCCGGAGCUAACGCGUUAAAUCGACCGCCUGGGGAGUACGGCCGCAAGGUUAAAACUCAAAUGAAUUGACGGGGGCCCGCACAAGCGGUGGAGCAUGUGGUUUAAUUCGAUGCAACGCGAAGAACCUUACCUGGUCUUGACAUCCACAGAACUUAGCAGAGAUGCUUUGGUGCCUUCGGGAACUGUGAGACAGGUGCUGCAUGGCUGUCGUCAGCUCGUGUUGUGAAAUGUUGGGUUAAGUCCCGCAACGAGCGCAACCCUUAUCCUUUGUUGCCAGCGGUUAGGCCGGGAACUCAAAGGAGACUGCCAGUGAUAAACUGGAGGAAGGUGGGGAUGACGUCAAGUCAUCAUGGCCCUUACGACCAGGGCUACACACGUGCUACAAUGGCAUAUACAAAGAGAAGCGACCUCGCGAGAGCAAGCGGACCUCAUAAAGUAUGUCGUAGUCCGGAUUGGAGUCUGCAACUCGACUCCAUGAAGUCGGAAUCGCUAGUAAUCGUAGAUCAGAAUGCUACGGUGAAUACGUUCCCGGGCCUUGUACACACCGCCCGUCACACCAUGGGAGUGGGUUGCAAAAGAAGUAGGUAGCUUAACCUUCGGGAGGGCGCUUACCACUUUGUGAUUCAUGACUGGGGUGAAGUCGUAACAAGGUAACCGUAGGGGAACCUGCGGUUGGAUCACCUCCUUACCUUAAAGAA
This 1550-nucleotide ribosomal RNA is filed under the name Klebsiella pneumoniae. RNAcentral's name for it is "16S ribosomal RNA". It matches the Rfam family "Bacterial small subunit ribosomal RNA". The record is from RNAcentral. Lineage: Bacteria; Pseudomonadati; Pseudomonadota; Gammaproteobacteria; Enterobacterales; Enterobacteriaceae.